UACUGACUGAUUGGAGUUGUUGCAGACAAGGAAAACUUUUGGAAGAAGAAUUAACGGACAUCUUAACGUCAGAUGGAUUAGGAGGUGAACUUUUUAUAAACAGAAAAUGCUCUUGAGUCUAGUUGAAUUGAAUGUAGGUGCUCAUGUGACUUAACCGUGUUCCAAAUAUUAGCUCCUGUUUUAAGCCUCUGGAUGCCUUUCCAUUUUGAACUGAACAAUGAAGAUUCAUUGAAAUACUAUCAUCAUCACCACACCUGGGAUGACUGAAUAAAUUUUUUUUUGCCCCCCCA
This 290-nucleotide long non-coding RNA is filed under the name Homo sapiens (human). RNAcentral's name for it is "HSALNT0250655". The record is from RNAcentral. Lineage: Eukaryota; Metazoa; Chordata; Mammalia; Primates; Hominidae.